Long non-coding RNA from Aegilops tauschii subsp. strangulata, 1287 nucleotides. RefSeq lists it as uncharacterized. The record is from RefSeq and is a predicted model, not a curated record. Lineage: Eukaryota; Viridiplantae; Streptophyta; Magnoliopsida; Poales; Poaceae.
UCGAGCUCUGAAUAUAUUUCAUUCCGACAUUUCAUUUUGUCGAUAAUAACAUUUUUCUUCUUUCUGAACAUUUCUAUGGGCAGAUAUUAUCCUCCAAGCUAUAUGAUAUGGACAACACAUGAUUUAUGGAACGAAAAGAGCCGAGCAUAGUGUGCUGCCGCGCCGUCGAUUUCCACGAAGUGGCCAGCCCGAGCCGAUUCCCCAAUGUGUCAAUGACUACGUCCGCUGCGUGAUCCUGUGGGACAUGACCAAUCCAUUGCCUUAUCAACACAUCGAGGGUGAAUUGAGUUCAGAGCUUUGAGCAAACAAUUGCGAUUUUGUAGCUGCAGUGGUGCUAUUCUUUAUCAUUUGGUAUGUCAUUACUUCCUACCUACUUGAAUUUCUCUAUUCCCAAUUCACGGGAUUUUUACUUUUUGACAUUUCCCUAAAUGAUUAUACACAACUCUGAUAAUGCGUGCCACCCAGUUUUCGUUCUCUAUAAGAACUGAGAAGUACAUAUGCACUUUUACGACAUAUAGGUUCAUAUAGAUGUGUUUGGACGACAUAUAGGGAGAACGAUAGGAUCAGAUGUCUGUGACAUAGAAAAAAAAAUACCGACAUGUACAUACUGUUCUUUCAUAGUACAUGCCAUGUAUACAAUGUUCACAUGCAAACAGAGCUACAAAAAUAUAUUAGUAGAUGAACCACAGUGAUAGCUCAUGUACCAUCGGAAGCAACAGAGCUACAAAAAUAUAUUAGUAGAUGUCCUCUGGUUUGAUAUUUUGAAGGCACGAACAGAAAGAAGCGCACCUGAUAUGCUAUAAAAUGGACAUUUCAUGGCAGAAUAAUAGGUGGUUAUAAAUUGUGGUACUGUCCAGGUUCCAACAAUUCAUUAAAACUCUUAUUUAUCUGCAAGAUACACACAAUAGGAAAAGCAACUGACAGAAUAUGGCACAAUGAAAGGAAAAUAAUACUACUAGAAAUAUUUGUGAGAUCAUGAAGAUGUCAACACACAUCCAUCCGUUUACUUGUGCCAAACCUGCAACUAAGUAGUUAGAAACACAUCAUGUCUGUUUAGAUAUGUAUUGAAAAGCCAGGAUUAUAAAAUUCAAAUAAGGGGCAAAUAAGAGACUAUAUAGGACAAAAAUAAAUAACAUUGACUGUGCCUGCUUUGGGGCCGCAUCAUAAAUAUUUCUCUAAUGUAGAACACUCCAGUGAAUUUUACAACAACGGAGUGACCCAGGCAGUGUGCAAUACUUAUGUAGGAAAACAAAGCCUAGUUUAGAUGUAGUAGAUGAUUGAUUACAA